GACGAACGCUGGCGGCGUGCUUAACACAUGCAAGUCGAACGGGGCUGCUAUGAUGGAGUUUUCGGACAACUGAUUAGUAUGCCUAGUGGCGGACGGGUGAGUAACGCGUGAGUAACCUGCCUUUCAGAGGGGGACAACAGCUGGAAACGGCUGCUAAUACCGCAUAAUAUAUACAGAUCGCAUGACUCUGUUGCCAAAGAUUUAUCGCUCUGAGAUGGCCUCGCGUCUGAUUAGCUAGUUGGCGGGGUAACGGCCCACCAAGGCGACGAUCAGUAGCCGGACUGAGAGGUUGGCCGGCCACAUUGGGACUGAGACACGGCCCAG
RNAcentral lists this ribosomal RNA (324 nucleotides) under uncultured bacterium. RNAcentral's name for it is "bacterial SSU rRNA". It matches the Rfam family "Bacterial small subunit ribosomal RNA", at positions 28 to 334 of the family's 1533-position model. The record is from RNAcentral.